This is a long non-coding RNA of Xiphophorus couchianus (Monterrey platyfish), 401 nucleotides long. RefSeq lists it as uncharacterized. The record is from RefSeq and is a predicted model, not a curated record. NCBI's taxonomy places the organism in Eukaryota, Metazoa, Chordata, Actinopteri, Cyprinodontiformes, Poeciliidae. The transcript is spliced from 3 exons.
UUGCGUCAUGACGUCAACUCAUUCUGCUUCCUUUGUUUGCUGAGCUGUGCUGGCCUCCCUUGCUGUGCCUCCAACUCCUGGACCAAUUUGUUCGGUUGUUUGCUGCCGGGAAGCUGCGCUCCAUAGGCGAACUUGUGGAUCUGUUAAUCUGGCCGUGUGGUAAUUUACAGGUAAGCAGCUACCGUAAGUUAUAGUUUUUAUCAGCAGUUGUAUUAAUAAUCUACUCUAUUUUUAGCCUCCUGCUGAAUCCUUGACGACUAUUCUAUUUGGAUAUACACUCGCUGCUGUUUUGCCUACGAUGAAAUAUUUUAAAAGAUUUGUAUGAACUUUCCCCCGCUGCCGGGAGCAUUGAUGGCACUACGACCGGGAUGAGGAGCAAUGUUGUAGUGCUAUUAUAUUAC